AAGGUGCUUGCACCUUUCAAGUGAGUGGCGAACGGGUGAGUAACACGUGGACAACCUGCCUCAAGGCUGGGGAUAACAUUUGGAAACAGAUGCUAAUACCGAAUAAAACUUAGUGUCGCAUGACACAAAGUUAAAAGGCGCCUCGGCGUCACCUAGAAUGGAUCCGCGGUGCAUUAGUUAGUUGGUGGGGUAAAGGCCUACCAAGACAAUGAUGCAUAGCCGAGUUGAGAGACUGAUCGGCCACAUUGGGACUGAGACACUGCCCAAACUCCUACGGGAGGCUGCAGUAGGGAAUCUUCCACAAUGGGCGAAAGCCUGAUGGAGCAACGCCGCGUGUGUGAUGAAGGCUUUCGGGUCGUAAAGCACUGUUGUAUGGGAAGAACAGCUAGAAUAGGAAAUGAUUUUAGUUUGACGGUACCAUACCA
Molecule: ribosomal RNA, 425 nt
Filed under: Leuconostoc mesenteroides
Lineage: Bacteria; Bacillati; Bacillota; Bacilli; Lactobacillales; Lactobacillaceae
Description: bacterial SSU rRNA
Rfam family: Bacterial small subunit ribosomal RNA
Source: RNAcentral